RNAcentral lists this small RNA (1486 nucleotides) under Pan troglodytes (chimpanzee). RNAcentral's name for it is "processed transcript". The record is from RNAcentral. Lineage: Eukaryota; Metazoa; Chordata; Mammalia; Primates; Hominidae.
GGGAGAUCAAAAGCCUGGGAACCAAGUCCCCAACAAAGGACCCGAGGACAGCCUUAUCCAGGCUUUGCUUCUCUCUGGGGGUUUGAAAGGAGCUGCUCUUGCUGGCUUCGGUGCAGGGGAUGAAUGCCAGUGAAUGCCAGUGUUCAGCAGGGCUCCUCCCAGGCGGCACUCCAGGGUCCGGCCCAAGGUGACUGUCCUGAACUAUGCCUCCCCAAUAACCACAGUCAGCCGGCCACUGAAUGAGAUGGUCUUGACCCCACUGACAGAGCAGGAGGGGGAAGCCUACCUGGAGAAGUGUGGCAGCGUGCGGCGGCACACGGUGGCCAAUGCCCACUCGGACAUCCAGCUGCUGGCCAUGGCCACCAUGAUGCACUCGGGCCUGGGGGAGGAGGCCAGCAGUGAGAACAAGUGCCUGCUCCUGCCACCCAGCUUCCCCCCACCCCACCGGCAGUGCUCCAGUGAGCCCAACAUCACCGACAACCCUGACGGACUGGAGGAGGGGGCCAGGGGCAGCCAGGAGGGCUCGGAGCUGAACUGUGCUUCCCUCAGCUGAGUCGCCACCCCUGGGCCUUUCCAUCUCCUGUUUUGCAACCAGGAUGAGGACCCCUCCAUCUCCGUGGAUUACCGAGGGGGGCUCUUGCUUUAUGCGACGCUGCCUUAUUUCUUUUAGGGUACUGUCCUGGUCAAAAUGACCUAAGGGAAAACCGUUGUUGUAAACCUCUUUAUUUUGGUGACUGUCACCACUUCUUUGUAGCCACCAAUUGUAGUGACCAAUUGCCUAAUGGUCACUUUCUGACUCCAGCCUUGCCAGCCUGACUCAGAUCCUCAUCUCUGGGCCUUUCUCCCUCCGAUGUUGGACUGCCUGAUGCUCCCAAUGACAUAUCCAAUGCUCCUGGCAUUUCUGGAGCAGGAGGUUGUCAGGACAGCACAUAUAACCACCAAGGAUGUGUUGGCCUUUGGAGUUCCCCUUUAGGUUCCUAGUGAUGUGGAGGUUUAUGGGUGAAAAAUUAGUGGAGAGGGAACUCCUCUCCCCCAUUUUGUGUAGAGUGAAAAUAGCCUGAAGCCCCUACUCAGCAGGGCUCUGGGAAUGUGCCUUCCUUAUUUUAGUUUCAGAAUUGCUGGGAAAGUUACCCCACUGGUGAGUGAAUAUCUAUCCUCACCUACAUCCAGAUCCUAUGUGCUGCUUGCACAGAGGCCUUUGGCUUUUGACCCAGGAGGGCCGCGAGCCUGGAGCUGCCCUGUCUUUCAUUGAGCCUUAGCAUUUCCCUCUCAGGCUUCCUCUCAAGCUCAAGGAACUCACCCCCAGAUAAGAAGCUGGUGCCUCUUGUCUCUCUCGUUUCAGAAACGGACUUUCUCAUCAUGCUUUCCUAUGGUGGGUAUGAGGGGCCAGCUGAUACCAACCAACUGGCCUGUAUCUAUCUGGAUUUGACUUGAAUUUUUAAAAUGUGUAUCGUUUCAAAAAAAAUGUUUGCAAAUUUUGCACAUA